UUUAAUAAACAUAAUCAUCAUGACAUAGACUGGAAAUUAUAAAAAAAUGUUUUGCUUUGUAUAGUGAUCGUUUUUAUCUUUGCAGCCGUUAUACUGGACACUAACGUGCAUAAUUUUGUAAUUUUUUUGUUAUAUAGCAACUCAUCAACAGUUUCUGUAAUAUUUGUCCAUAUAGCGACUAUAGUCUAUAGUUACUUUUCUCCCUCGGUCGAUGUGAAAAGUACAACAUGUUUGUGUUGGACAAAUUUUUGUAAAUAUUUAAAGUCAUGUGUAAUUCUUAUCAUUUUUUGACAAAUUUUUAGAUGCCCUCACUUUUCAUAGCAUUUUGGAAUACCAUCAAUACCAACAAUCCUGAUCGGAGAAGACUGAAACAGCACAUCAACAGUUGUUACAGUCACGUAGCUUGUUUCUUUGGUCACGUAUAGCCACCGGCCCACCAUGCAGUUCAGCCACGAGACUGAGCAUCCCAUCAAAAGUAAAAUAGAAGAAAGGACAUUGAGCUGGCCACCUAAGACAUGCAACUUUGUACAUCAACGAGACACAUUCAACGGAACACACCGACGUCAACGCAGAUCUUUAAAUAAUCGCUUAAUGGCCAAGCUCCAUGCUGUUUAGCAGGCAAAUAAAACCAUAGUCAUCUACAAGUAACCAUAACCAUCUAAUUGUCUAUUACGCAAUAAAUCCGUACAAUCUUCUUUGUCUUCUGUU
Long non-coding RNA from Daphnia pulex (common water flea), 708 nucleotides. RefSeq lists it as uncharacterized. The record is from RefSeq and is a predicted model, not a curated record. NCBI's taxonomy places the organism in Eukaryota, Metazoa, Arthropoda, Branchiopoda, Diplostraca, Daphniidae. The transcript has 3 exons.